This 1626-nucleotide unclassified non-coding RNA is filed under the name Portunus trituberculatus (swimming crab). RNAcentral describes it as "uncharacterized LOC123512331, transcript variant X1". Lineage: Eukaryota; Metazoa; Arthropoda; Malacostraca; Decapoda; Portunidae. The record is from RNAcentral.
GUCAGCCUGUUGACCUCACCCCUCCCCACCAUACUAUAGUGACGACAUGUGUUCACCAAUACUCCUCUACUCGACUCGAGCUCUCUAUUUCUUACGUCGCAGUGUCAAAUACUCAAAACAAAGUGUCAUAGUGAAAUUAAAAAUUCUCCACCUCUUUCGAAACCGUAGCGCGAGACAAGGCAAGUCAGUGAACAAGAAAAUAUCAGUGAUCACUACCUUACGAAAGAAAGCAGCCUCCUAAACAGGACAAGCCCUACAAACAUUUCGAAGUGCCUCCUUUGUGGACGUGUGCCAGAAAAUCCGGUGCUCCAAGGGACGGGGGUUUAGGACUCCCGGUGUGUCUCCGCUAGAUGGCACCACCUGUGGCCGUAACAAGCCAUCAAAUCAACCAGGGAGCCGGGAGGUGGCAAAGAUUGGUGAAGGAAGCGUCUUAUAUUUUCCUCCCUGCCGCCCUUCAGGAACGAGGAGUGUCCUAUCGUGGCCCAGUUUGUCACCUGUUCACCUGCCGGAAGUCGUCAAGGUGUGGAAGGAUUGGCCCCAGUGGUUCAGGUGACCAAUGGCUACACACUGAGGAAGCUCCAUGUCAUGCACCUUUCCAAGAUUGCCUUCACUGGCUCAACAGCCAAUGGCAACACACAGUCUGGUUCUGCCCCGUCACACACCCAUGGAAGCAUGAACAGAAUGCCUUGAGUGACUGGUGACAGAUGAGGUUGCAAGAAGCGUGACGACUCAGGGAAUGAGAUGUGUGAAGGAGAGGGCCUGAUCCUGACUAAUGCAAUGGUGGGCACUAGAGACAAGAAGAGAAGACACCCGCAGGCAAGGUCAUGUGUGUGAAACUAAGUUGUAUAAACGAGAAAUUGGGAUGUUAGAAAAUUUGAGGAUGUAUGCAAGAGUGGGAACCUAAAUAUAGUAGUAGGAAUAACUGAGGCACCAGAGGGAUGCAGUGUGAAUGAGAGGAAAGGAGUGUGUAAUGGCAGGAUAGAGACAGAACAGAUUAUUAGCCUUGCACCACAGAAAAUUGAGGAACCUGAGAAAGGAAGAGCCUUUAUGUAAGUAGGAGACGGUGUGGAUGUGUUAGCUGCCCAAGUGGAGUACCUAAAUGAGUGUGGUAGACCUGAGAGGCUAGUGGUAGUGUACAUGACAGCAGCUAGUGGUGAGUGAAGCAAGUGAUAGUGAAUACUAAGUCAGGUGUGAGAAGUAUGAUUCUGUCCUUGAGUGAAUGCUAAAGUCAGGUGUGAGAGGAGUGUGAUUCUGUCCUUGAGAGAGAAAGAUGUGGAAGGUGGCAGAGAAUAAUAGAUUUGUGAAGGGUGAGAGGCUGAAAGUGAAUGAAUGGGGCAGUGGUGAAAGGUAUGGAAGAAAUGAGGAAGGUGAUCAAAUAGUUCUGGGAAAAGAUUGAUGUGUAAGAAAGAUGCAGAUGAAUUGAAUGAAAGAAUCAGCAGGGAGGAGGAGGAAAAAUAUUGAAAAAGCAAAAAAAAAUAGGAAGGUAGCAGGGCUAGAUGAGGUACACUAUGAGAUAUACAAAAAUGAAGUAGUACAUAAUUGAUAGGAUGACGGCUGUUUAACCAGGUGUGUGAGAAGGAGGAGUGUGUGUCAGGAAUGUGGAAUGGAUGCAGAGUGAUUUGCAUA